Molecule: long non-coding RNA, 956 nt
Organism: Lutzomyia longipalpis
Lineage: Eukaryota; Metazoa; Arthropoda; Insecta; Diptera; Psychodidae
Exons: 3
Source: RefSeq, a predicted model, not a curated record
GGUGUAAUCGAUAAGGACUGCACGACAACUUCUGCUCAGAGACAAUGUUCAAUGCCUUCAACGUCAGCUAAGAUCGUCAUCAAGAUCACGACAAAUUCAGUAUAAAAGCCCAGAGGAUCUCUUCAGUCAGCACAGUCAGUUCACAAUCAGUCAACUGAAGCAAUCAAACCAACCAACCCAAUUCAAGAUGAUGAAAUUCCUGAUCUUCGCUUUCCUCGUUGCCUUCGCUGUUGCCGUUGCUUAUGCCAGCCCUGAGCCAGCUCCUCGUCCAGCUCCUCUUCCUGUUGCCUACCCACAACACGGAUAUGGAUACGGAUAUGCUCCAUAUGGUGGAUAUGGUUACUACUAAUUUCCCCCAAACUCUGGACUCAACUGAAGCAACUAAAUGCAGAUACACACAAUUUAUUUCGCAGAAUAAUGAAAUCCGACAAUUAAAGUAAUUGCAAUUACAAUUCGACUCUGUAUUAUUUAACUCUCAAGGGGUUUUGUCUCGAAGCAAUUAAUCUUAAUGUGAGUAAUCACAGAUAAAAAUUCCUUCAGGAUUUUUUCUGAAUACUUUUUCGUCUUUAUUAGGGCUUUACCACACUCACUGACUACAUAAUUCGAAGAAAUAAAAAAUUGACCAAUUAACACUGAAGCUAAUUGGUUGGAAUCCUCAACCGAAAUACUUAGUGUUAACCAUAAUUCUUUAAAUUUUACAUAAAAAGGUACAAGUGUUCUUUCAGCCCCUUCUCGUUCCCAUAGAAACAUUAGGUUUUAUCAUGAAUUCCAUUACGUUCCUUCCCGGCUGACACAACUUUAAGAUUUUUUAAAGAUUUUCACAAUUCGCGUCAAUAGUACUCGUCAGUAGUUCCCAUAUAAAGUUUUCCGACUAUUUGUUCGAAAAUGGCACUUUUUUUCGCGUGUGUGUAUUAGUGAGUAGCGCUGAGUAGCGCAUCCGUGUAUUUCUCAUGUGC